AACCUGGUUGAUCCUGCCAGUAGUCAUAUGCUUGUUUCAAGGAUUAAGCCAUGCAUGUCUAAGUAUAAGCCCUAGUACGGCUAGACUGCAGACGGCUCAUUACAACGGUUGCAGCUUACAGAGCAUCCGGGUCGCAAGACCUUCUGGAUAACCGCAGUAAAUCGGGGCUAAUACAUACAAACGGAGGGGCGGAGCGGGCAACCGCGAAGCUUCUGCGAUGGACACUUAGCUAUUCGACUGACCCCUCACGGGAAUGGUUGGAACCGGUUCAUAUUGCUAAUCGACUUGUGGCUUGCCCAAGUCUGAUAAGCUCUAUAGGCAACCGCCCUAUCAACUUGAUGGUAAGGUAUUGGCUUACCAUGGUUGUAACGGGUAACGGGGAAUCAGGGUUCGAUUCCGGAGAGGACGCCUGAGAAACGGCGUCCACAUCUACGGGUGGCAGCAGGCGCGUAAAUUGCCCAAUCUCAAUAGAGAGGAGGCGGUGACAAUAAAUCCCGAUGGCCAUGGGGGCAACCCCGGGCCAAUCAGAAUAAGUACACAUUAAAUACCCUAACCAAUAUAAUUGGAGGGCAAGUCUGGUGCCAGCAGCCGCGGUAAUUCCAGCUCCAAUAGCGUAUACUAAUGUUGUUGCAGUUAAAACGCUCGUAGCUGAACAACUUGAUGGCAAAUUCAGGUCAAUGUGGCACGUCCAUGGGGGGAAACCUUUAUGCGGCAGUGUCCUUGACCGGCUAAGCAGGUAGGUAGUUUGGCGUGUGUAGCAAUACAUGCGUCAGGCGAUCGACUGUGCAUAAACCUUGAUGCUCAAGGUAAAGACGACUCUAGUCAAAGAUACGCAGUGCAUGGCAUUGUGGAACAAGGCGAUCCGUAGCUUGGUUGGUGAGCUACGGGUGCAAUGAUUAAUAGGGAGGAGCGGGGGCCUUCAUAUUGCCGGGCGAGAGGUGAAAUUCGUUGACCCUGGCAAGAUGUCCUACAGCGAAAGCAUUGGCCAAGUGCCUCUCCAUUAGUCAAGAACGAAAGUUUGGGGAUCAAAGACGAUCAGAUACCGUCGUAGUCCAAACCAUAAACUAUGUCGACCAGCGAUUAGGUUCGCCACCUUCUUCGAGAGCAACCUGGCAGCUUGUGGGAAACCAUGAGUUCUUGGACUCUGGGGGGAGUAUGGUCGCAAGGCUGAAACUUAAAGGAAUUGACGGAAGGGCACACCAUGGAGUGGAGCCUGCGGCUUAAUUUGACUCAACACGGGAAAGCUUACCAAGCUCAGAUAUGAUAAGGAUUGACAGACCAAAAGAUCUUUCAUGAUCUCAUAAGUGGUGGUGCAUGGCCGUUCUUAGUUGGUGGAGUGAUUUGUCAGGUCAAUUCCGGUAACGGACGAGACCUCGACCUGCUAACUAGUGGCAGUUGUCUUUUCGCUCGGCGAGGCGUUUUGGGCGUGGAACUUUGAUAGGGGCAACUCUAUCUUUGGGAAGCGAACGAGGCUAGUAGUCUGGAGAGGCAGCUGUCCCCAUAUUAAAAUAAUCUUCCUAGAGGUACUUCCAGCUCUAAGUUGGAGGAAGUCCGAGGCAAUAACAGGUCUGUGAUGCCCUUAGAUAUCUUGGGCCGCACGCGUGCUACAAUGUAGGCGCUAAUGAGUCGUUCUUAAUAUCCCGGCACCGCCAAGGUGUCUGGUAAUCCCCAAUCCCCUGCGUGAUUGGGAUUGGUCACUGUAACUGUGACCAUCAACGAGGAAUUCCUUGUAUGCGCGGGUCACUAUCCCGCGCAGAAUCUGUCCCUGCCCUUUGUACACACCGCCCGUCGCUCCUACCGAUCGAACGGUAAGGUAAAGUGGACGGACAGCUGUCCUUCACGGAUGGCUGGAAGUCCCAUUGAACCUUCGUCGUUAGAGGAAGGAGAAGUCGUAACAAGGUAUCGGUAGGUGAACCUGCAGAAGGAUCA
RNAcentral lists this ribosomal RNA (1929 nucleotides) under Cavenderia amphispora. RNAcentral describes it as "bacterial SSU rRNA". It matches the Rfam family "Eukaryotic small subunit ribosomal RNA". The record is from RNAcentral. Lineage: Eukaryota; Evosea; Eumycetozoa; Acytosteliales; Cavenderiaceae.